This 235-nucleotide ribosomal RNA is filed under the name uncultured bacterium. RNAcentral's name for it is "partial 16S ribosomal RNA". It matches the Rfam family "Bacterial small subunit ribosomal RNA", at positions 15 to 317 of the family's 1533-position model. The record is from RNAcentral.
GAUCAUGGCUCAGGAUGAACGCUAGCUACAGGCUUAACACAUGCAAGUCGAGGGGAAACGACUGCUAAUACCGAAUACGCUUGGGAGACCGCAUGAUCUUCCAAGGAAAGGGUGGCCUCUACCUGUAAGCUAUCGCCUGAAGAGGGGUUUGCGUCUGAUUAGGCAGUUGGUGAGGUAACGGCCCACCAAACCUACGAUCAGUAGCCGACCUGAGAGGGCGACCGGCCACAUUGGG